Molecule: long non-coding RNA, 486 nt
Filed under: Sus scrofa (pig)
Lineage: Eukaryota; Metazoa; Chordata; Mammalia; Artiodactyla; Suidae
Description: lncRNA (multiple genes)
Source: RNAcentral
AGAAGGAAAAGAAGCCGCGGCCGGGCCGCUGAUGAUGAGGGGACGAUGAACUUCUCACCUUUCUUUAACUCAGAGCAACUCGUCCUUUAAAAAAAUCCACGCCGCCGUGGCUUUAUUAGCAUGGAAGAAUUCACCUUCAGAAGAUUGGAAACUUUUCUUUUUGGUUAUACAGGUUUGCAACGUUAAAAGUCAAUUCUUCGCUUAAUUUUGUCUUUGAAGGAGUUACCCUAAUUUAUUGAGAUGAUGAAUUAAAAUUGUCUCCAUUUCUCCUCUUUCCACAAAUUAAAAUGAUAACCAAACUUGGCAUCAUUGUUUCCUUGAUAAAAGCUUUCAGUUACAUGUGAGCUAAGUUGAAGUCUACUCCCUCCAUCCCAACCACACAAGCACAGUUUUCACUCUGACACUCCAAUAAUGCACUUAGUUUAAAAUUACACUUGGACCUUUCCUCCUUUGUAUUUUUUCAUUUACUUCAGUGCAACAAGAUGA